GAUGAACGCUGGCGGCGUGCCUAAUACAUGCAAGUCGAGCGAACGGACGAGAAGCUUGCUUCUCUGAUGUUAGCGGCGGACGGGUGAGUAACACGUGGAUAACCUACCUAUAAGACUUGGAUAACUUCGGGAAACCGGAGCUAAUACCGGAUAAUAUUUUGAACCGCAUGGUUCAAAAGUUAAAGACGUUCUUGCUGUCACUUAUAGAUGGAUCCGCGCUGCAUUAGCUAGUUGGUAAGGUAACGGCUUACCAAGGCAACGAUGCAUAGCCGACCUGAGAGGGUGAUCGGCCACACUGGAACUGAGACACGGUCCAGACUCCUACGGGAGGCAGCAGUAGGGAAUCUUCCGCAAUGGGCGAAAGCCUGACGGAGCAACGCCGCGUGAGUGAUGAAGGUCUUCGGAUCGUAAAACUCUGUUAUUAGGGAAGAACAUAUGUGUAAGUAACUGUGCACAUCUUGACGGUACCUAAUCAGAAAGCCACGGCUAACUACGUG
This 497-nucleotide ribosomal RNA is filed under the name uncultured bacterium. RNAcentral's name for it is "partial 16S ribosomal RNA". It matches the Rfam family "Bacterial small subunit ribosomal RNA", at positions 28 to 507 of the family's 1533-position model. The record is from RNAcentral.